Molecule: ribosomal RNA, 458 nt
Filed under: uncultured bacterium
Lineage: Bacteria
Description: partial 16S ribosomal RNA
Rfam family: Bacterial small subunit ribosomal RNA
Source: RNAcentral
AACGAACGCUGGCGGCAUGCCUAACACAUGCAAGUCGAACGAGACCUUCGGGUCUAGUGGCGCACGGGUGCGUAACGCGUGGGAACCUGCCCUUAGGUUCGGAAUAACUCCCCGAAAGGGGUGCUAAUACCGGAUAAUGUCUUCGGACCAAAGAUUUAUCGCCUUUGGAUGGGCUCGCGUUGGAUUAGCUAGUUGGUAAGGUAAAAGCGUACCAAGGCAACGAUCCGUAGCUGGUCUGAGAGGAUGAUCAGCCACACUGGGACUGAGACACGGCCCAGACUCCUAAGGGAGGCAGCAGUAGGGAAUAUUCCGCAAUGGGCGAAAGCCUGACGGAGCAACGGAGCGUGAGUGAUGAAGGUCUUCGGAUCGUAAAACUCUGUUAUUAGGGAAGAACAAAUGUGUAAGUAACUGUGCACGUCUUGAAGGUACAUAAUAAGAAAGCCACGGCUAACUACGUG